Long non-coding RNA from Polyodon spathula (Mississippi paddlefish), 2421 nucleotides. RefSeq lists it as uncharacterized. NCBI's taxonomy places the organism in Eukaryota, Metazoa, Chordata, Actinopteri, Acipenseriformes, Polyodontidae. The record is from RefSeq and is a predicted model, not a curated record. The transcript has 2 exons.
UCCGCCCCACCUAUUUGGAAACUGAUAGAGGGGCAAAAGUGAUAUUUUUGGCCUAAGUGCGUGUAAUAUAUCACAUAAAAGCUCUUGAUUAGAUCUACCCGGUACCUAAAGGACCUAACUGAAAUCACAAACUGCACUGAAUAAAGAGGACUUAAGUGUACACACGCCCUGCUAGCACUGAGUAUUGCAUUGUGGGAUGGAUCAUGUGACCGCAGAUAGGCCAAAAUGGCUGAAAAGAGAAGUAAAGGUAUUGUGUAAAACCAAAUCUCUCUGCAGAGGGUAUUUUUCUGAGUUUAAUGAAGAAUCAGACAAAGAAUCCACUUCAGAAUUGGACAAUGGAAACUGGAAAACCUGGAGCUCCACCGCAAGAGCCACACAGUUAGAGAGGGGCUCAUCAGCCUCAAGAAUUGUCGGACGCCACGAACAGCUUAAAUUAUUGGGCCCUCUUCCAACAGCAGGAGCCACAGUCUCAACGGGACCAUGCAGCUGUUUAUGGAGCAAGAUCAGUGCAUAAGCCAGAAGAAUUAAUGGAAAUUCAACAGACCUGCAUUGUGAACCAAAAAAUGUACUUGUUAGAUCUAAGCCAAAAAAUUGUCAUGCAUGUCCAGGGCACAAGCUUUGAAAAUGCAUUGUUCCAUUGAUAAUGGAAAAGGCAAUUCGUUGAUUUAAAAUGGAUACCUAUUAACACAAUUAUGUAUAAUUAAAACACUGCAUAUGAAAUAAACUGACUUGUUGGCAGCAGUAAACACAACGGUUUACCAGCCUUAAUGAUGUUGAAUCUUUUGGCUCAGGGGCUGGGUGUGCCACCUACUAAACUAUCAAUGUGCCAAUUGAAAUGAUGAUCUGGAAUAAACUAUACUUGGAAUGUGAAGAUCGAGUUUGUUAGUCUGUGGAAAUGUUCAAGAACAGUGCCUAAAUAUUUCUUGUGGACAGACGUAUUUCUAAAUUGGUCAAUUAAAUAUCAUUAGACUUAUUUAGAUAGCGAGGCGGCUCUUGUCAUUUCAUUUAAAUCUUGUGCUUUGAUUUUUAUAUUUUUGGAGAGUGUGCAUUGGCUGUGGUGCUCUAUAAAGUUUCAUUUUAACACAUGACUAUUAAACAGCAAGCUUUUAUCCAAAUGUCCAGGACUAAUCUAAAAUUACAAUUAUUAUUUGACUUUGAUAGGGGCUGAAGUUGUGGCAGAGUUCAGCAGGUACUGUUGCACAAGUAAGUUCAUAGGUUUUACUGCAAUUUAUCCAAAUAGACACAAGGGGGAGCUAGUUCUGUUUAAUCAUGUCUGUAAAAGAAAGGCCCAGAUAGAACUAUGAAAAGUGCCAACAGGGAAACAGGACUAUACUAUCUAGAAGUUUUCACACACGAUCAGGAUACUCAAGGAAGAUUUCCAGAAUGCAGGUCCACAUGAGCCAUUCAUGUGCCAUUUUAACCUACUUGUUUACCAUUUAUCUAAAAAUUGACCUUUAAAAUAACUUUGCCUAAAUGACCUAACAGUGACAGCUUCAUAACCCUGUGCUUCACCAGUACCAGCAACACAACAUGCCACCCCUUCACCCUCUUACACCUGUUUUUAUACAUUGGAAACCACAGGGAUCAAUCACCUCAUUGAAUGAACAAACUAAAUAGUUUGUGCUAACUACAGGCACCAUUUAUCAUUUAUAUAAACAGAUAAAGUGUACAAUAAAGAAACAUAAAUGUGAGCUCACAUAACCGAUGUUAGCUAUUAAUGUGACAUGUAAUCAAUGGUGGAAUGGAGUUCCACUUCAUUCAAACCACAAUACAUAUGGCUAUGUUAUUAGUUUAUUUUAAUAAAGUGGGUAAAAUUAAUUGUAUUGCACUAAUUUAAUCAGUGAUACUUUUGGUAAGCUCCAUUAGUAGUAGAAAUGUAUGGGUUUUUUUUUUUUUUUUUUUUUGUAUAUAAAUUUUUAAUGGCUCAUUCUGCUAUGCCUGAAACAUAACACAUUACGCAUUCAGAGGCCUCAGCGCUUGUGUGUGCAUGUUAAAAUGAAUUGAUUUUCCUAUUGAAAUGAUGUGUGUGUGAUUACCCUCAACUACAUCAUUGUGAACCUGGAAAACGUGUUUCUCUACCGCAGGAGAUGGGGAUGAGGAUAUAUGUCACAGUUUGUGCAGAUCUGGAAAACCACUAAUCCAAUUGUUAUAACACUUGGUAUUAACAUUAUUUAGCACAAGAUACUGUGAGCAUUCGAUUCUGGGGAUACAGGGGGGUGUCUGUCUUUCUGUACAUUUGUUAUUAUUAUAUUUCUCUACUGUACCAUCCUGCUGGUUGCAAGUCUGGAAACUCCAUCUUUAUUAGUAGCUUCCUACACAACCUGAUCAAUUAGCAGUAUUUUAAUAAAACUAAUAGAAUGCCAGAAGUUAAAUGUUUUUUUUAAUUAAAACUGAAAUAAAGUGUGUGCAUUAACCACUUAA